GAGUUAUGGUUAAGUUUCUGGUCAGAGGUGCAUUAUAACUCUUUAUACGAUAUUCAAGUUGCUCCAGUUCAGCAGAAGCCAAAGAGAAAACAUUGGUUGUUCUAAAAGGCAUGCCUCUCACACGUCCCAUAUUAAGACCUUUAACUCUUUCUCGUACAUUUGUGCAUAAAGCAUAUUCUCGUAUAUCAUAACUCUUUCUUCACACUUCUCUCUGUAUACAUACGAACUAGCUUGAGCUCUAACAUUUCUAAGCCGAAAUAUGGUAGUGGGACCAAGGCAAAGAAAAUAUGACAGUUUCAAUAACCUCAGGGGAAUAGAAUCUCAGAAUUCGAUUAAAGCUUGUGAGCUCCAGAUAAUGGGGAAGUUUUCGGUUGAUAUGAGACUUGGAUUGUCAUGACUUAUCCAGGCCAAAUUAUGUCAUCCAAUGAUUUUCAUUUGUGUUAGGUUUCACCUAUACUAUAACAUCUUGUAACGUCUUUUGGUUGUAUUGAAAAUUGAAUCAUACUUUAAAUUCCACAUGCGCACAAUAGGAUUUAUA
This is a non-coding RNA of Camelina sativa (false flax), 538 nucleotides long. NCBI's taxonomy places the organism in Eukaryota, Viridiplantae, Streptophyta, Magnoliopsida, Brassicales, Brassicaceae. The record is from RefSeq and is a predicted model, not a curated record.